This 1404-nucleotide ribosomal RNA is filed under the name uncultured bacterium. RNAcentral describes it as "bacterial SSU rRNA". It matches the Rfam family "Bacterial small subunit ribosomal RNA". The record is from RNAcentral.
AGAGUUUGAUCCUGGCUCAGGAUGAACGCUGGCGGCGUGCCUAACACAUGCAAGUCGAACGGACUUAUAACGAAACCUAGUGAAUUAUGAGUUAGUGGCGGACGGGUGAGUAACGCGUGGAAAACCUGCCGUAUACUGGGGGAUAACACUUAGAAAUAGGUGCUAAUACCGCAUAAGCGCACAGCUUCGCAUGAAGCAGUGCGAAAAACUCCGGUGGUAUACGAUGGUUCCGCGUCUGAUUAGCUAGUUGGUAAGGUAACGGCUUACCAAGGCGAUGAUGCAUAGCCGAGUUGAGAGACUGAUCGGCCACAAUGGAACUGAGACACGGUCCAUACUCCUACGGGAGGCAGCAGUAGGGAAUCUUCCACAAUGGGCGCAAGCCUGAUGGAGCAACACCGCGUGAGUGAAGAAGGGUUUCGGCUCGUAAAGCUCUGUUGUUGGAGAAGAACGUGCGUGAGAGUAACUGUUCACGCAGUGACGGUAUCCAACCAGAAAGUCACGGCUAACUACGUGCCAGCAGCCGCGGUAAUACGUAGGUGGCAAGCGUUAUCCGGAUUUAUUGGGCGUAAAGCGAGCGCAGGCGGUUGCUUAGGUCUGAUGUGAAAGCCUUCGGCUUAACCGAAGAAGUGCAUCGGAAACCGGGCGACUUGAGUGCAGAAGAGGACAGUGGAACUCCAUGUGUAGCGGUGGAAUGCGUAGAUAUAUGGAAGAACACCAGUGGCGAAGGCGGCUGUCUGGUCUGCAACUGACGCUGAGGCUCGAAAGCAUGGGUAGCGAACAGGAUUAGAUACCCUGGUAGUCCAUGCCGUAAACGAUGAGUGCUAGGUGUUGGAGGGUUUCCGCCCUUCAGUGCCGGAGCUAACGCAUUAAGCACUCCGCCUGGGGAGUACGACCGCAAGGUUGAAACUCAAAGGAAUUGACGGGGGCCCGCACAAGCGGUGGAGCAUGUGGUUUAAUUCGAAGCUACGCGAAGAACCUUACCAGGUCUUGACAUCUUGCGCUAACCUUAGAGAUAAGGCGUUCCCUUCGGGGACGCAAUGACAGGUGGUGCAUGGUCGUCGUCAGCUCGUGUCGUGAGAUGUUGGGUUAAGUCCCGCAACGAGCGCAACCCUUGUUACUAGUUGCCAGCAUUAAGUUGGGCACUCUAGUGAGACUGCCGGUGACAAACCGGAGGAAGGUGGGGACGACGUCAGAUCAUCAUGCCCCUUAUGACCUGGGCUACACACGUGCUACAAUGGACGGUACAACGAGUCGCAAGCUCGCGAGAGUAAGCUAAUCUCUUAAAGCCGUUCUCAGUUCGGACUGUAGGCUGCAACUCGCCUACACGAAGUCGGAAUCGCUAGUAAUCGCGGAUCAGCAUGCCGCGGUGAAUACGUUCCCGGGCCUUGCACUCACCGCCCGUCA